Misgurnus anguillicaudatus (oriental weatherfish) is the source of this 1645-nucleotide non-coding RNA. The record is from RefSeq and is a predicted model, not a curated record. Lineage: Eukaryota; Metazoa; Chordata; Actinopteri; Cypriniformes; Cobitidae.
CUCAAAAAAUGGGUUUUGUAGCACUGUUCAUUAUACACAAAUGUAUUUAGUUACAUUAACACAUACACAUUUAUUUUUAAGACAAAAUACAAGUGUAAUGUGUUAUGCUAAAUCAAUUGGUUAUUCAUUCUGGUUUACCUAACUACCUAUCUUUAAACUAAAGUAAUUGGUUUACUUUUGCGAUUCAAAUACCGGAUGUGACGUCAUUUAACGACUUCCACGCACGAAGACGGCGCGCAGGUGAUGGUGUUUCGGUCAUACCACAAUGACUUCUCCAGUCUGGCUAAAAGUUACAAAAGGUGAUCCUUCAGUAUGCCAUUCCUUCUUCAGUGAGUGACCUGUCAAAUUAAAUAGAAAAACAAUGUAAUCUACAAGGACAUUUAAGGAUGCAGUUCAUGGAUUCUGACUUGGGCAAUUAGUUUUUAAGUGAAAUUAAAUUUACUCAAGCCCAAACCAGCUGGAAUUUCCAGUGCUGCUUACCAUAUAAAAAAAACAUGCAACGCUGAGGUCAACUACUGCCCUUACCAUCCACAAACGGAGACAUCCAAAACACUGGAAGUAGAGACAUGAGGUUGUCAAGGAAUCGCCUUCAAUAGCAGAUUUCAAAACUAGAUGGCCUGCUCUUUUCAGAAGGGAAGAGAUUUGUGCAGAGUUUUAAAGAAUCGCAACAGCCCCAUUGGUGUCUACAUACUUGGCGAAGAUGGAUCAAUAUUCUGCAAAGCUUAUAAGGAUCUAUGCAAAACGAGGAGUCAUCAAAUGACCGAGAAUUAAAAACCUGCUGGUUUCCACAACACGGACUGACAACAUUGAUCAGACUCCGAUCUUUCUUUGUCUACCUGAAUGAAGACCUGACCAGUCUAAUUAAAGAGUAUUUGGAUACAGAUGCACCCAGUACCCAGGAGGCGAUCCAGAAGAUGGUGAUGGGAGUGCUUGUAGGUUCAGACAUCGAAGACAGCCCAGCAGAUGUUGGAGUGUUAUUAAAGGGAUUAAGAGUUCUUGGACCUCAACAACAUUGUGUAUGCGACAACCAUGCUGAUGGGACUGAUAUAUGCACUGAACUUGAGCUACUUUCCUGAAUUCAGGUACACUUAAGUAUUGCAGUUGUUGUUUCUGGAGCUAGAUGGGAAGUAACUAUCUCAUAAAGUUCAGACGCUGAAGACCAAGCCUUUUGCAGAUGUUUUGAGAAAGGAAUGUUUUAAUAUUUCAUAUGUAAAUGCCAUGUUUUUGAAAUGGAGUUUUCGUGCAUUUCAUUUGUCAGUAACUGUAAAAAAAUUGUAAUGUUGUUAUAAGGUUACAUUGUAAUAUCCAAAGUCCUUAAAAACUUUGCAAGCUUUUCAAGUUGAUGAGUGCAUCUCAUUUGUUGGUAUAUCAUUUACAGUAUCUGUAGUUUAAGUGCAAUAAACAUGGGUUGAAGAACUGGUGUAUGAGAUUCUUUUUUGAAUAAAAUGAAUGCUAUAUAGAGUUUAUUACAAAAAGUAUAUUUUUGUGUGUGAUGUACUUGAAAUAGACAUUGUUGUGUUAAAGUAACUAAAAGUAAUUGGAUGGAACCACUGUCCACAAUGUAAUUGAGUUGUAUGAAUAAACUACUCUUGAGUUGGACAAGCAAAAAAUAUUUGAUUCGUUUGAACAAGUUAAACACAUGUUC